UACGGGGAGGCAGCAGUGGGGGAAUAUUGCACAAUGGGCGCAAGCCUGAUGCAGCCAUGCCGCGUGUGUGAAGAAGGCCUUCGGGUUGUAAAGCACUUUCAGUCGUGAGGAAGGUAGUGUAGUUAAUAGCUGCAUUAUUUGACGUUAGCGACAGAAGAAGCACCGGCUAACUCCGUGCCAGCAGCCGCGGUAAUACGGAGGGUGCGAGCGUUAAUCGGAAUUACUGGGCGUAAAGCGCAUGCAGGUGGUUUGUUAAGUCAGAUGUGAAAGACCCGGGGCUCAACCUCGGAAUUGCAUUUGAAACUGGCAGACUAGAGUACUGUAGAGGGGGGUAGGAAUUUCAGGUGUAGCGGUGAAAUGCGUAGAGAUCUGAAGGAAUACCGGUGGCGAAGGCGGCCCCCUGGACAGAUACUGACACUCAGAUGCGAAAGCGUGGGGAGCAAACAGGAUUAGAUACCCUGGUAG
RNAcentral lists this ribosomal RNA (465 nucleotides) under uncultured bacterium. RNAcentral's name for it is "bacterial SSU rRNA". It matches the Rfam family "Bacterial small subunit ribosomal RNA", at positions 340 to 793 of the family's 1533-position model. The record is from RNAcentral.